Molecule: ribosomal RNA, 774 nt
Filed under: uncultured bacterium
Lineage: Bacteria
Description: bacterial SSU rRNA
Rfam family: Bacterial small subunit ribosomal RNA
Source: RNAcentral
AGAGUUUGAUCCUGGCUCAGGACGAACGCUGGCGGCGUGCUUAACACAUGCAAGUCGAACGGACUGCGGGGGCUUGCCCCUGUGGUUAGUGGCGAACGGGUGAGUAACACGUGAGUAACCUGCCCCUGACUCUGGGAUAACUGCUGGAAACGGUGGCUAAUACCGGAUAUGAGACCCUGUCGCAUGGUGGGGUUUGGAAAGAUUUUUUGGUUGGGGAUGGACUCGCGGCCUAUCAGCUUGUUGGUGGGGUAAUGGCUCACCAAGGCGACGACGGGUAGCCGGCCUGAGAGGGCGACCGGCCACACUGGGACUGAGACACGGCCCAGACUCCUACGGGAGGCAGCAGUGGGGAAUAUUGCACAAUGGGCGGAAGCCUGAUGCAGCGACGCCGCGUGAGGGAUGAAGGCCUUCGGGUUGUAAACCUCUUUCAGCAGGGAAGAAGCGUGAGUGACGGUACCUGCAGAAGAAGCGCCGGCUAACUACGUGCCAGCAGCCGCGGUAAUACGUAGGGCGCAAGCGUUGUCCGGAAUUAUUGGGCGUAAAGAGCUCGUAGGCGGUUUGUCGCGUCUGCUGUGAAAACCUAAGGCUCAACCUUGGGCUUGCAGUGGGUACGGGCGGACUAGAGUGCGGUAGGGGUGACUGGAAUUCCUGGUGUAGCGGUGGAAUGCGCGAUAUCAGGAGGAACACCGAUGGCGAAGGCAGGUCACUGGGCCGCAACUGACGCUGAGGAGCGAAAGCAUGGGGAGCGAACAGGAUUAGAUACCCCAGUAGUCC